GGAUUAGAUACCCUGGUAGUCCUUGCUGUAAACGAUGUAUACUUGAUGUAAUCGGACUUAAUCCCGAUUGUGUCGAAGCUAACGCGGUAAGUAUACCGCCUGGGGAGUACGCUCGCAAGGGUAAAAGUCAAAAGAAUUGACGGGGGCCCGCACAAGCAGUGGAGCAUGUGGUUUAAUUUGAUGCAACGCGAAGAACGUUACCCAGACUUGACAUAUAAUAGACGCUAGCAGAAAUGUUAGUUCCCGCAAGGGCUGUUAUACAGGUGCUGCAUGGCUGUCGUCAGCUCGUGUUG
Molecule: ribosomal RNA, 293 nt
Filed under: uncultured bacterium
Lineage: Bacteria
Description: partial 16S ribosomal RNA
Rfam family: Bacterial small subunit ribosomal RNA
Source: RNAcentral